Molecule: ribosomal RNA, 460 nt
Filed under: uncultured bacterium
Lineage: Bacteria
Description: partial 16S ribosomal RNA
Rfam family: Bacterial small subunit ribosomal RNA
Source: RNAcentral
CCUACGGGUGGCAGCAGUGAGGAAUAUUGGUCAAUGGACGCAAGUCUGAACCAGCCAUGCCGCGUGCAGGAAGACGGCCCUAUGAGUUGUAAACUGCUUUUGUACGAGGGUAAACGCAGAUACGCGUAUCUGUCUGAAAGUAUCGUACGAAUAAGGAUCGGCUAACUCCGUGCCAGCAGCCGCGGUAAUACGGAGGAUUCGAGCGUUAUCCGGAUUUAUUGGGUUUAAAGGGUGCGUAGGCGGUCGGUUAAGUUAGUGGUGAAAGCCCGAGGCUCAACCUUGGAAUUGCAAUUGAUACUGUUCGGCUAGAGAAUAGUUGCGGUAGGCGGAAUGUGUGGUGUAGCGGUGAAAUGCUUAGAGAUCAUAAAGAACACCGAUUGCGAAGGCAGCUUACCAAGCUACUUCUGACAUUGAGGCACGAAAGCGUGGGGAGCAAACAGGAUUAGAUACCCCAGUAGUC